Molecule: ribosomal RNA, 253 nt
Filed under: uncultured prokaryote
Description: partial 16S ribosomal RNA
Rfam family: Bacterial small subunit ribosomal RNA
Source: RNAcentral
UACGUAGGUGGCAAGCGUUGUCCGGAUUUAUUGGGUUUAAAGGGUGCGUAGGCGGAACAGUAAGUCAGUGGUGAAAGCCUGUUGCUUAACAACAGAACUGCCAUCGAUACUGCUGAUCUUGAGUACAUAUGAUGUGGGCGGAAUGUGCCAUGUAGCGGUGAAAUGCUUAGAUAUGGCACAGAACACCGAUUGCGAAGGCAGCUCACAAAACUGUUACUGACGCUGAGGCACGAAAGCGUGGGGAUCAAACAGG